AGUGAACGCUGGCGGUAGGCCUAACACAUGCAAGUCGAACGGCAGCACAGUAAGAGCUUGCUCUUACGGGUGGCGAGUGGCGGACGGGUGAGGAAUACAUCGGAAUCUACUUUUUCGUGGGGGAUAACGUAGGGAAACUUACGCUAAUACCGCAUACGACCUACGGGUGAAAGCAGGGGAUCUUCGGACCUUGCGCGAUUGAAUGAGCCGAUGUCGGAUUAGCUAGUUGGCGGGGUAAAGGCCCACCAAGGCGACGAUCCGUAGCUGGUCUGAGAGGAUGAUCAGUCACACUAGAACUGAGACACGGUCCAGACUCCUACGGGAGGCAGCAGUGGGGAAUAUUGGACAAUGGGCGCAAGCCUGAUCCAGCCAUACCGCGUGGGUGAAGAAGGCCUUCGGGUUGUAAAGCCCUUUUGUUGGGAAAGAAAAGCAGCAGGUUAAUACCCCGCUGUUCUGACGGUACCCAAAGAAUAAGCACCGGCUAACUUCGUG
Molecule: ribosomal RNA, 492 nt
Filed under: uncultured bacterium
Lineage: Bacteria
Description: partial 16S ribosomal RNA
Rfam family: Bacterial small subunit ribosomal RNA
Source: RNAcentral